AUUGAACGCUGGCGGCAUGCCUUACACAUGCAAGUCGAACGGCAGCACGGGUGCUUGCACCUGGUGGCGAGUGGCGAACGGGUGAGUAAUACAUCGGAACGUGCCCAGUCGUGGGGGAUAACACAGCGAAAGCUGUGCUAAUACCGCAUACGUCCUGAGGGAGAAAGCGGGGGGACCGUAAGGCCUCGCGCGAUUGGAGCGGCCGAUGUCUGAUUAGCUAGUUGGUGAGGUAAAGGCUCACCAAGGCGACGAUCAGUAGCUGGUCUGAGAGGAUGAUCAGCCACACUGGAACUGAGACACGGUCCAGACUCCUACGGGAGGCAGCAGUGGGGAAUUUUGGACAAUGGGCGAAAGCCUGAUCCAGCCAUUCCGCGUGAGUGAAGAAGGCCUUCGGGUUG
This 398-nucleotide ribosomal RNA is filed under the name uncultured bacterium. RNAcentral's name for it is "bacterial SSU rRNA". It matches the Rfam family "Bacterial small subunit ribosomal RNA", at positions 30 to 425 of the family's 1533-position model. The record is from RNAcentral.